RNA transcript from Brachypodium distachyon (stiff brome), 2194 nucleotides. RefSeq lists it as uncharacterized. The record is from RefSeq and is a predicted model, not a curated record. NCBI's taxonomy places the organism in Eukaryota, Viridiplantae, Streptophyta, Magnoliopsida, Poales, Poaceae. The transcript is spliced from 13 exons.
CUGCAGCCAGUGGAGCUGAGCUGAGUAGGCGAGGAAGCAACAGCAGCAUAGAGCAGAGCAGACGAGGGAGGAAGAGAUCGGCGGAGGCAGAGGCCGGGGCUCUAGCUAGCUAAGCUCAAUCGAAUCAAUGGCGAACCGCCCUCGCCGGUCCGAACCCUAGCCUCUGUCAACCCAACCCGCGAUGACCCGUCACCAUGUCCUCCCCCCGCCACCCUCCCCCGCCGCCGCCCGCUAGGGUGCGCCUCGACGACGUGGCGGUCCACGACGGCGCCGCCGCCCCGGCCUACGCACGCUCCGUCGCCGCCCUCGCCGACUCCCUCGCCCGCCGCAACGCCGCCGUGCUCGAGCUCCCCGCCCACGACGCCGCCGUCGUCCGCUGCGCCCUCGAGUCCGCAAGGGCCUUCUUCCGCGGCCGCGCCUCCGUCUAUGUCUACCGCGCCGGGAGGACUUUGGAAGAUGGAGAGUUGUCCCCUGCUUGCAUGUCUGAUGCUUUCAGAUGUUUGGGUAAGGCGGCCCGUGUCGCUCUCUGCGCAAUAGCACGCCAUCUGCGCUUACGCACUGAUGUAUUCAACCAUUUGCUUGAUGAUACUCCGUUGCCUAUUAACGAGGUCUCAUCGUCAGAGUUGCUGGUGGCAUACUCGCAUGAACAGCUCCAAAGUGGACAAGCACCUAUGGGAUUUCUCAGGUCCUCAAUGCCUGAAGUUGAUAGGGGUUUUGUGACGCUAGUUGCUUCUGAUUGUCCAGGAAUUGAGGUUUGUGACCCAAAUGGCCAUUGGUAUCUAGCGGAUGGGGGUUCAGGCCCAACUGAUCUAUUGCUUCUGACUGGAAGGGCCCUAAGUCAUGUUACCGCUGGUCUUCGCCCAAUUUCCCAGUACAGGGCUUCUAAUGAGAACAGGGCAUCACUCACUUUUAGGUUAAUGCCUCAUGCAAAUGCUGUAUUGGGUUGCUCUCCAAUUUUAGCUGCUGGGCAUUGCAUAGGACAGAUACACCAACCAAUUCCUGCAAGCCAAUUUAUGGAUGAUUCGUGUGCUGAAGAGCAUGCUGUUUCCAGUCGCUUGGAAGAACCUUCUGAAUCUCAGGGCAAUUUUGUUAGUGAUCCAUCGCUCAGAAGUGUCCUCUCAGACCCUCUGUCCGGGGCUUUUCUUGAAGAUGCUAUGGUUCUCUCAUGUGGGCACUCAUUUGGUGGCCUCAUGCUGAAGAAAGUUGUUGAAAUGGCUAGAUGCACCAUUUGCCAUGGAGAAGUUGACCCAGCCUCCUUGUUUCCUAAUCUCGCUUUAAGGGCAGUAGCUACAGUGGUGAAGAUGGAAGAUGACAGGAGACUCUUUCACAACGCCGCUCUUCGAAAACGCAGGAAAGAUGUGACCGGGCAUACAGAUGUGCCGAAACGGGCCGGGAGUAGCAAAGACAACGGUGAGCUUGUUCUGGAUGCUGAGAGCUCGGCGCCAUUCAAGGGAGUGCAGUACCCAUUUGUGGUGGGCGAGAGAGUACUGAUCAUGGGAAACAAAAGGACGCCCGAGAAAUUCGUCGGGAAGGAGGCAGUCAUCACCUCGCAGUGUUUGAAUGGCUGGUAUCUCGUGAAGGCGGUCGACAGCGGAGAGAGCAUACGGCUGCAGUACCGAUCGCUGAAGAAAGUGAUGGAGCUGCAGAUGCAGGCGCUGGCAUUCCUGCGGUAAAAGGGGAACAACGACGUAUCAUUAUCAUCAUCUUCGUCGAUGAUGAAACUAUAACCAUCAUCCAAGCCACUGAUCCGGACACAUAGAUAUGUGGCCAAUCACGGGACGACAAAAAUGUACUACCAAGUUAGUAUUAUUAGUAUAUAUCAGGCACAGCGAGCGGAGCAAUGGAAUUGUGUUUAGUGCAAUGACUGGUGGACGCCACGAAGCAAGGAAGGAAAGAAGAAAGGAGGUUGUGAAAGGAAUCUGACCAGCGAACGUGUUCUCCAAGGGUCCAAGUUGGCGGCACCUGCAGACAAAAUCCAACAGCGAUAUGACGAAUCUGGCUUCCAAUUUAUCUUUCAUCUAUCCAUCCAUCCAUCCAUUAGCAAAGCAGCAGCAGUAGUAGUACAAGUAGUAAACUGACUAAUCGUUGUGUCAAGUGUAUCCACAUAAUUAAUCAAUUUAAUGCUGUACAUACAGGUAAAAACAUGAACUACGCAGCUGUUAAUUUCAUCUGAAAAUUCUUUAGGCAUUUUUUC